GAUGAACGCUGGCGGCGUGCCUAAUACAUGCAAGUCGAGCGAACGGACGAGAAGCUUGCUUCUCUGAUGUUAGCGGCGGACGGGUGAGUAACACGUGGAUAACCUACCUAUAAGACUGGGAUAACUUCGGGAGACCGGAGCUAAUACCGGAUAAUAUUUUGAACCGCAUGGUUCAAAAGUAAAAGACGGUCUUGCUGUCACUUAUAGAUGGAUCCGCGCUGCAUUAGCUAGUUGGUAAGGUAACGGCUUACCAAGGCAACGAUGCAUAGCCGACCUGAGAGGGUGAUCGGCCACACUGGAACUGAGACACGGUCCAGACUCCUACGGGAGGCAGCAGUAGGGAAUCUUCCGCAAUGGGCGAAAGCCUGACGGAGCAACGCCGCGUGAGUGAUGAAGGUCUUCGGAUCGUAAAACUCUGUUAUUAGGGAAGAAUAUAUGUGUAAGUAACUGUGCACAUCUUGACGGUACCUAAUCAGAAAGCCACGGCUAACUACGUGCCAGCAGCCGCGGUAAUACGUAGGUGGCAAGCGUUAUCCGGAAUUAUUGGGCGUAAAGCGCGCGUAGGCGGUUUUUUAAGUCUGAUGUGAAAGCCCACGGCUCAACCGUGGAGGGUCAUUGGAAACUGGAAAACUUGAGUGCAGAAGAGGAAAGUGGAAUUCCAUGUGUAGCGGUGAAAUGCGCAGAGAUAUGGAGGAACACCAGUGGCGAAGGCGACUUUCUGGUCUGUAACUGACGCUGAUGUGCGAAAGCGUGGGGAUCAAACAGGAUUAGAUACCCUGGUAGUCCACGCCGUAAACGAUGAGUGCUAAGUGUUAGGGGGUUUCCGCCCCUUAGUGCUGCAGCUAACGCAUUAAGCACUCCGCCUGGGGAGUACGACCGCAAGGUUGAAACUCAAAGGAAUUGACGGGGACCCGCACAAGCGGUGGAGCAUGUGGUUUAAUUCGAAGCAACGCGAAGAACCUUACCAAAUCUUGACAUCCUUUGACAACUCUAGAGAUAGAGCCUUCCCCUUCGGGGGACAAAGUGACAGGUGGUGCAUGGUUGUCGUCAGCUCGUGUCGUGAGAUGUUGGGUUAAGUCCCGCAACGAGCGCAACCCUUAAGCUUAGUUGCCAUCAUUAAGUUGGGCACUCUAAGUUGACUGCCGGUGGCAAACCGGAGGAAGGUGGGGAUGACGUCAAAUCAUCAUGCCCCUUAUGAUUUGGGCUACACACGUGCUACAAUGGACAAUACAAAGGGCAGCGAAACCGCGAGGUCAAGCAAAUCCCAUAAAGUUGUUCUCAGUUCGGAUUGUAGUCUGCAACUCGACUACAUGAAGCUGGAAUCGCUAGUAAUCGUAGAUCAGCAUGCUACGGUGAAUACGUUCCCGGGUCU
This 1372-nucleotide ribosomal RNA is filed under the name uncultured bacterium. Its description in RNAcentral is "bacterial SSU rRNA". It matches the Rfam family "Bacterial small subunit ribosomal RNA", at positions 28 to 1381 of the family's 1533-position model. The record is from RNAcentral.